ACACCAGACUUGCCCACCCCUUAUUCUGCACCAUUUUUAGAGGUGCCAAAAGAUGCCCUUAGCGGGCAUCACUCAGAGUAACCCUGUCAAGCUUUCGCCUAUUGCAGAGGUUUCGCGCCUGGUGCAAUCGUCGAC
This 135-nucleotide ribosomal RNA is filed under the name uncultured archaeon. RNAcentral describes it as "partial 16S ribosomal RNA". The record is from RNAcentral.